GACGAACGCUGGCGGCGUGCUUAACACAUGCAAGUCGAACGGGAUUUAGUAAACGGAAGCCUCGGUGGAAGAUUACUAAUGAGAGUGGCGAACGGGUGAGUAACGCGUGAGCAACCUGCCUAUGACAGUGGGAUAGCCUCGGGAAACCGGGAUUAAUACCGCAUAAAAUCGUAGAAACACAUGUUUCAACGGUCAAAGAUUUAUCGGUCAUAGAUGGGCUCGCGUCUGAUUAGCUAGUUGGUGAGAUAACAGCCCACCAAGGCGACGAUCAGUAGCUGGUCUGAGAGGAUGAACGGCCACAUUGGAACUGAGACACGGUCCAAACUCCUACGGGAGGCAGCAGUGGGGAAUAUUGCACAAUGGGGGAAACCCUGAUGCAGCGACGCCGCGUGAACGAAGAAGGUAUUCGUAUCGUAAAGUUCUGUCCUAUGGGAAGAUAAUGACAGUACCAUAGAAGAAAGCUCCGGCUAAAUACGUG
RNAcentral lists this ribosomal RNA (478 nucleotides) under uncultured bacterium. RNAcentral describes it as "partial 16S ribosomal RNA". It matches the Rfam family "Bacterial small subunit ribosomal RNA", at positions 28 to 507 of the family's 1533-position model. The record is from RNAcentral.